CCUACGGGUGGCAGCAGUAGGGAAUAUUGCUCAAUGGGGGAAACCCUGAAGCAGCAACGCCGCGUGUAGGAUGAAGGUUUUAGGAUUGUAAACUCCUUUUGUGAGAGAAGAUAAUGACGGUAUGUCACGAAUAAGCACCGGCUAACUCCGUGCCAGCAGCCGCGGUGAUACGGAGGGUGCAGACGUUACUCGGAAUCUCUGGGCGUAAAGGGUGCGGAGGGGGUGUUGUAAGUCAGAUGUGAAAACCUGCAGCUUAACUAGAGAAAUGCAGUUGAAACUGUGAGUCUAGAGUGUGGGAGAGGUAGGUGGAAUUCUUGGUGUAGGGGUAAAAUGCGUAGAUAUCAAGAGGAAUA
This 353-nucleotide ribosomal RNA is filed under the name uncultured bacterium. Its description in RNAcentral is "partial 16S ribosomal RNA". It matches the Rfam family "Bacterial small subunit ribosomal RNA", at positions 338 to 708 of the family's 1533-position model. The record is from RNAcentral.